CCUACGGGAGGCAGCAGUGGGGAAUAUUGCACAAUGGGGGAAACCCUGAUGCAGCGACGCCGCGUGAGUGAAGAAGGAUUUCGGGAUGGAAAGCUCUAGCAGCAGGGAAGAAGAAAGACGGUACCUGACGAAGAAGCGCCGGCGAACUACGUGCCAGCAGCCGCGGUAAGACGUAGGGGGCAAGCGUUAGCCGGAUUUACGGGGUGGAAAGGGAGCGUAGACGGCUGUGCAAGUCUGAAGUGAAAGCCCAGGGCUCAACCCUGGGACUGCUUUGGAAACUGUGGAGCUAGAGUGCUGGAGAGGUCAGUGGAAUUCCUCGUGUCGCGGUGACAUGCUUAGAUAUUAGGCG
RNAcentral lists this ribosomal RNA (349 nucleotides) under uncultured bacterium. RNAcentral's name for it is "partial 16S ribosomal RNA". It matches the Rfam family "Bacterial small subunit ribosomal RNA", at positions 338 to 703 of the family's 1533-position model. The record is from RNAcentral.